UACAGAGGGUGCAAGCGUUAAUCGGAAUUACUGGGCGUAAAGCGCAUGUAGGUGGAUAUUUAAGUCGGAUGUGAAAGCCCCGGGCUCAACCUGGGAAUCGCACUCGAUACUGAAUGUCUUGAGUAUAGUAGAGGGAAGUGGAAUUUCCGGUGUAGCGGUGAAAUGCGUAGAUAUCGGAAAGAACAUCAGUGGCGAAGGCGGCUUCCUGGAUUAAUACUGACACUAAAGUGCGAAAGCGUGGGGAGCAAACAGG
RNAcentral lists this ribosomal RNA (253 nucleotides) under uncultured bacterium. RNAcentral describes it as "partial 16S ribosomal RNA". It matches the Rfam family "Bacterial small subunit ribosomal RNA", at positions 524 to 776 of the family's 1533-position model. The record is from RNAcentral.